UACGAAGGGAGCUAGCGUUGUUCGGAAUUACUGGGCGUAAAGCGCACGUAGGCGGGCUCUUAAGUCAGGGGUGAAAUCCCGAGGCUCAACCUCGGAACGGCCUUUGAUACUGGCAGGCUUGAGGUCGGUAGAGGCGAGUGGAAUGCCUAGUGUAGAGGUGAAAUUCGUAGAUAUUAGCCGGAACACCAGUGGCGAAGGCGACUGGCUGGACCGUUACUGACGCUGAGGUGCGAAAGCGUGGGGAGCAAACAGG
This 253-nucleotide ribosomal RNA is filed under the name uncultured bacterium. RNAcentral describes it as "partial 16S ribosomal RNA". It matches the Rfam family "Bacterial small subunit ribosomal RNA", at positions 524 to 776 of the family's 1533-position model. The record is from RNAcentral.